RNAcentral lists this ribosomal RNA (588 nucleotides) under Hynobius leechii (Gensan salamander). Its description in RNAcentral is "partial 16S ribosomal RNA". It matches the Rfam family "Bacterial large subunit ribosomal RNA", at positions 1767 to 2608 of the family's 2925-position model. Lineage: Eukaryota; Metazoa; Chordata; Amphibia; Caudata; Hynobiidae. The record is from RNAcentral.
AUAGGAAGGAACUCGGCAAACAUGAACAUCGCCUGUUUACCAAAAACAUCGCCUCUUGCAAUUAAGGAUAAGAGGUCCUGCCUGCCCAGUGACAUUAAGUUUAACGGCCGCGGUAUUAUGACCGUGCAAAGGUAGCGUAAUCACUUGUCUUUUAAAUAAAGACCAGUAUGAAUGGCAAGACGAAAGUUCAACUGUCUCCCUAAAUUAAUCAGUGAAAUUGAUUUCUCCGUGCAGAAGCGGAGACAAAAUUAUAAGACGAGAAGACCCUAUGGAGCUUUAAACAUAUAAUCAAUUGUAUUCUUCAUAAAAUCCGAAAGAUAAAAUAUAAAAUAAAACAAUAUGAUUAAAAUGAGAUGAAAAGAAUAUCUUAAUUAAGAACCACAAUUCCAAAAAAUAAAAAUAUUUAACAUAAUUGAUCCAAUAUUUUGAUCAACGAACCAAGUUACCCUAGGGAUAACAGCGCAAUCCUCUCCAAGAGUCCCUAUCGACGAGUGGGUUUACGACCUCGAUGUUGGAUCAGGACACCCCGAUGGUGCAGCCGCUAUUAAAGGUUCGUUUGUUCAACGAUUAAAGUCCUACGUGAUCUGG